GAUAUAUUGUUUUGACUUCUCAAUAACUCAUUUUGUCUUCCUUUUUUGUUGCAGAAGCAUGCGCCACCGAUUUCUGUGCCUCAAAAUAGCUGGAAAAAUUGUGAGAAAGGUAAAGAAAAAUGGCUGUGCCACUUGCUGAGGAGAGAGACAGAUCCGAGCCUCGGAUCCGAGAGUGAAAAUGGAUCCGAGCUCGGAUCAGUGGAUCCGAGGACUUCCC
This 217-nucleotide long non-coding RNA is filed under the name Coffea arabica (coffee). RNAcentral's name for it is "long non-coding RNA (CARA_LNC005719)". Lineage: Eukaryota; Viridiplantae; Streptophyta; Magnoliopsida; Gentianales; Rubiaceae. The record is from RNAcentral.